This 450-nucleotide ribosomal RNA is filed under the name uncultured crenarchaeote. RNAcentral describes it as "bacterial SSU rRNA". It matches the Rfam family "Archaeal small subunit ribosomal RNA", at positions 453 to 903 of the family's 1478-position model. Lineage: Archaea; Thermoproteati; Thermoproteota. The record is from RNAcentral.
UGGUGUCAGCCGCCGCGGUAAAACCAGCACCUCAAGUGGUCAGGAUGAUUAUUGGGCCUAAAGCAUCCGUAGCCGGCUCUGUAAGUUUUCGGUUAAAUCUGUACGCUCAACGUACAGGCUGCCGGGAAUACUGCAAAGCUAGGGAGUGGGAGAAGUAGACGGUACUCGGUAGGAAGUGGUAAAAUGCUUUGAUCUAUCGAUGACCACCUGUGGCGAAGGCGGUCUACUAGAACACGUCCGACGGUGAGGGAUGAAAGCUGGGGGAGCAAACCGGAUUAGAUACCCGGGUAGUCCCAGCUGUAAACUAUGCAAACUCAGUGAUGCAUUGGCUUGUGGCCAAUGCAGUGCUGCAGGGAAGCCGUUAAGUUUGCCGCCUGGGAAGUACGUACGCAAGUAUGAAACUUAAAGGAAUUGGCGGGGGAGCACCACAAGGGGUGAAGCCUGCGGUUC